AUGCUUGCUUCAGCAGCACAUAUUCUAAAAUUGGAACAAUACAAAGAUUAGCAUGGUACCUUGCAAAGAUAACAUAUAAAUUCAUUAAAUAUUCCAUAUUUUA
RNAcentral lists this small nuclear RNA (103 nucleotides) under Chinchilla lanigera (long-tailed chinchilla). The record is from RNAcentral. Lineage: Eukaryota; Metazoa; Chordata; Mammalia; Rodentia; Chinchillidae.